GCAAUAUCGGCUACCGACAGUGCGCCGACGGGCCUGCACGAAGAGGAAACCGGUGCGAAUCCGGUGCGGUCCCGCCACUGUGAUCGGGCACAUUGCGACCCGAGAGCCAGAUACUCACCGCCGGCGCUUCCUAGACG
RNAcentral lists this non-coding RNA (137 nucleotides) under Mycobacterium lentiflavum. The record is from RNAcentral. Lineage: Bacteria; Bacillati; Actinomycetota; Actinomycetes; Mycobacteriales; Mycobacteriaceae.